Molecule: long non-coding RNA, 2055 nt
Organism: Felis catus (domestic cat)
Lineage: Eukaryota; Metazoa; Chordata; Mammalia; Carnivora; Felidae
Exons: 2
Source: RefSeq, a predicted model, not a curated record
GGCUGGGAACUCUGGCUAGCAAAGAGCCCCCUGAAAGGCCAGGAGAGGGAUCAGUUGGGAGGGCAAGGCCCUGGGUCCUUCCCCCAGCCCCCAUGCCUCCUUCUGACAGAGAGCUAUAGAGAACAGAGUGGAAGCCAGACAGCCCACACAGUAAUCUCUCCUACAGAGGGAAGCUAGAAGGGUCCAGGUCUACCCUGCUCCAUACUCUACUCCUGAAGGACUCUGCCCCCUCUGCCUGGGAGUGGUGGCCUUAGGAAAAAGUGGCAAUACCAUCCUGUCCUCGGCCUUCUGCAAGACUGACUCACACUGCCUCCGUGGAGAAGCCCCAGCCCAGUCUAGGUGAAGAUUUCGGGACCACUUCUCAGAAUGUUUCUAAAGUGCAUGAUACAAAAUACUUAGCGCUACGCCAAGCUCAGACCUCCGCCAGAGCGAGGCCUCAGCUCUCUCAUUUCAGCCUGCUGCAAGGUCACUCUGUGGUCCUGUCCCGAUCAAAGCCCUGCCUGUGGGGCACAACGUGAACUGGACCGGCCAGCGGCGAGAGAUCCCAGCGCCAGAGAAGGAAUCCUGGGAACGGCCUCCUCCCAACCACAGCACAUCCAGGCUGUUUCUGCUGCUUUGCUACCUCCAAGAAGGGCCGCUCUGUCCUCUGCGGCUCAGCCCACGGCCGUGGCAUCCCUCUGGUCCCUCAAAAGCAUUGCUUAGCACAGAGGAGCAAAGGUUUGGAUCCCUGCUCUGGGGGUCCCGACUCCAAGCAGUCAGAAAGCCUUCUCUGGUAUCUAACCUCACUCCACUGCAGGCUCCAACUGUCUCCCCAGUACCAUCCCACAUCUUCCUGGGCCCCUCUUCUGGAAAGGCAGAAGCAACGUGCAAUUGACUUCAGAGACUCUCAGAAUAUCAGUGCAGGAAGGGCUUGCAGAUCAGCAACUCAACUUCCCAAAGUGACAGAGGACAGUGAGGCCACAGAUCAAAGAGAUCUGUCCAACAUCAUCUGGAAGGGAGGCAGGGGAGCUAAGGCUUAGCUCAGGUCUUCCGGCUCUCCAUCUGCCUCCCACUAAAAAAGAAGAAAAAACAAACAAACAAACAAACAAACAAACAGGAGAAACCUUGAGGGCUGUUCCUGCACUUAAUGAGAGAUGGGGCGAGGAGCCAAACUUUGCAUUAAGGAUGCAGGGAUCUAGACGGGGCACCCCGUUGGCCUCCAGAACACCAGAGUCCAGGAGCACCAGUGAGAAGGGGGCUGAGUGGUUGGAACCCCCAGAAAUCUUGAGGCAGACCGGGCCUCUGAUGGACCUUAAGCCUAGGGGGUGCAGAGAGUCCUGGUGCAAGGCAUGAGCAUCUCUCACUGGUGAAGAGAGAGUUACUCGCUCAUCUCAGAUGGCUAUCUGGAAGAGAAACAGACUCACUUCUCCCAGCCCCACCAUUUCCAGGAAACGCUGGGGCACCAAGCGAGAAGCAGUUAAAAGGCGCAUUAAUCGCAAAGCCUGCAGCUGUCGCUGGGACUGCUCACUCCACACCUGGGGUGGACAGCAGGGGCCCCAGGGCAGGAGCUCUGCCUCCACCCACCCCCCCACCCACCGCAAGUACAACGCAGCCCUGAGCAUCCAGCGGGGUGCCCUGCCCACCUGGCCACUUGCCAUAAUCCUCCACCCCAGCUGGGGUUCACACACCUGCUGCCCAGCGUCUCAAGACAUCCCCCCUCCGCAGACCGCCAGGCGGCCAGGGGCUGUGUUUGACUAUGACCGGGGCCACAGCCUUCCUCCCGGUGCGGUCAACCCUUCUCCGAGGAGUCCCAGAGCCCACUGAGGCCUUCCGGGGAGGCUGGUGACAUCCACAGGCAGGCUGCCGGGCCCCACGACCCCGUCCACAUGAUUCCUGUCCACACAGCCCUUAUUCCAAGCGUAGGCCGGGUCUACACACAUCAGAACCAUUUGACAUGCGUCCCAAAUCCUGGUUCCCGGGUUGCCCCACAGAAUCCAAACCCUUCAGUGGGGGAGGGCAGGGGCGAAGCCUUGGAGCUCUGCAUUUUAAUAUAUUCCCUUGGUAUUUUGGAUACGA